This 74-nucleotide transfer RNA is filed under the name Omnitrophica WOR_2 bacterium RIFCSPHIGHO2_02_FULL_45_21. Its description in RNAcentral is "tRNA-Arg". RNAcentral also lists the same sequence under 1 other name. The record is from RNAcentral. Lineage: Bacteria; Pseudomonadati; Candidatus Omnitrophota.
GCGCCCGUAGCUCAAUUGGAUAGAGCACUAGUCUACGGAACUAGUUGUUGGCCGUUCGAUCCGGCCCGGGCGCG